UGGGGAAUCUUGCACAAUGGGGGCAACCCUGAUGCAGCGACGCCGCGUGAGCGAUGAAGCCCUUCGGGGCGUAAAGCUCUUUCGACCGGAACGAUAAUGACGGUACCGGGAGAAGAAGCUGCGGCUAACUACGUGCCAGCAGCCGCGGUAAUACGUAGGCAGCAAGCGUUGUUCGGAGUUACUGGGCGUAAAGAGUGCGUAGGCGGUUUUCUAAGUUCGGUGUGAAAUCUCCCGGCUUAACUGGGAGGGUGCGCCGAAGACUGGGAAGCUGGAGUGUGGGAAAGGCAGGCGGAAUUCCUGGUGUAGCGGUGAAAUGCGUAGAUAUCAGGAGGAACACCUGUGGUGCAGACGGCUCUCUGGACCGCUACUGACACUGAGGCACGAAAGCGUGGGGAGCAAACA
Molecule: ribosomal RNA, 402 nt
Filed under: uncultured bacterium
Lineage: Bacteria
Description: bacterial SSU rRNA
Rfam family: Bacterial small subunit ribosomal RNA
Source: RNAcentral